GAACUGCCAGAUCUGCUUGAACC
This 23-nucleotide non-coding RNA is filed under the name Arabidopsis thaliana (thale cress). The record is from RNAcentral. Lineage: Eukaryota; Viridiplantae; Streptophyta; Magnoliopsida; Brassicales; Brassicaceae.